RNAcentral lists this ribosomal RNA (638 nucleotides) under uncultured bacterium. RNAcentral describes it as "bacterial SSU rRNA". It matches the Rfam family "Bacterial small subunit ribosomal RNA", at positions 89 to 725 of the family's 1533-position model. The record is from RNAcentral.
CGUCGACCGGCGCACGGGUGAGUAACGCGUAUCCAACCUGCCCACCACUUGGGGAUAACCUUGCGAAAGUAAGACUAAUACCCAAUGACGUCUCUAGAAGACAUCUGAAAGGGAUUAAAGAUUUAUCGGUGAUGGAUGGGGAUGCGUCUGAUUAGCUUGUUGGCGGGGUAACGGCCCACCAAGGCGACGAUCAGUAGGGGUUCUGAGAGGAAGGUCCCCCACAUUGGAACUGAGACACGGUCCAAACUCCUACGGGAGGCAGCAGUGAGGAAUAUUGGUCAAUGGACGAGAGUCUGAACCAGCCAAGUAGCGUGCAGGAAGACGGCCCUAUGGGUUGUAAACUGCUUUUAUAAGGGAAUAAAGUGAGUCUCGUGAGACUUUUUGCAUGUACCUUAUGAAUAAGGACCGGCUAAUUCCGUGCCAGCAGCCGCGGUAAUACGGAAGGUCCGGGCGUUAUCCGGAUUUAUUGGGUUUAAAGGGAGCGUAGGCCGGAGAUUAAGCGUGUUGUGAAAUGUAGACGCUCAACGUCUGCACUGCAGCGCGAACUGGUUUCCUUGAGUACGCACAAAGUGGGCGGAAUUCGUGGUGUAGCGGUGAAAUGCUUAGAUAUCACGAAGAACUCCGAUUGCGAAGGCAGC